Molecule: ribosomal RNA, 496 nt
Filed under: uncultured bacterium
Lineage: Bacteria
Description: partial 16S ribosomal RNA
Rfam family: Bacterial small subunit ribosomal RNA
Source: RNAcentral
GAUGAACGCUGGCGGCGUGCCUAAUACAUGCAAGUCGAGCGAACAGAUGAGGAGCUUGCUCCUCUGACGUUAGCGGCGGACGGGUGAGUAACACGUGGAUAACCUACCUAUAAGACUGGGAUAACUUCGGGAAACCGGAGCUAAUACCGGAUAAUAUAUUGAACCGCAUGGUUCAAUAGUGAAAGACGGUUUUGCUGUCACUUAUAGAUGGAUCCGCGCCGCAUUAGCUAGUUGGUAAGGUAACGGCUUACCAAGGCAACGAUGCGUAGCCGACCUGAGAGGGUGAACGGCCACACUGGAACUGAGACACGGUCCAGACUCCUACGGGAGGCAGCAGUAGGGAAUCUUCCGCAAUGGGCGAAAGCCUGACGGAGCAACGCCGCGUGAGUGAUGAAGGUCUUCGGAUCGUAAAACUCUGUUAUUAGGGAAGAACAAAUGUGUAAGUAACUAUGCACGUCUUGACGGUACCUAAUCAGAAAGCCACGGCUAACUACGU